This 551-nucleotide long non-coding RNA is filed under the name Homo sapiens (human). RNAcentral describes it as "non-protein coding lnc-TPST1-1:18". The record is from RNAcentral. Lineage: Eukaryota; Metazoa; Chordata; Mammalia; Primates; Hominidae.
GGUAUUCCAGGAGAGCGCAUGCGCAGACGCAUGGCCACAGACUGCCGGUCAGUGUCAGCAGGCGGUGGGUUAGGGUCCGCAGGCCCAGACCAGGCCGCCGACACCAAUAAGCUACAAGGAGGAGCUUUACCGCUGCCUGUACUACUACUGCCUGCGCUACUUCCCAGCCUGCGGCGUAGGGCGCAGCAAGGGCCUGACGCUUAGCGAGCAGGCGCUGCGCACCAAGCGGCUGUCGCCUGGAGGGCACGUUCAGGCAGAAGCUCCUCAGUGGCCACAAGUCCGCUAGCUCCGGCUACAGCCCUUGCCGCACACUCGCGUCACCUGAGCCUGUGAUGCCGAAGGACCUGUUCAAAGUAUUUUCUGUAACUCCAACUGUAACUUGGUUCUAGGAGGAGAGAAUCCAUGUUUGGUCAACAGAACUUUUCGCCGCCACUUAAGUUUACUGCUUCAAUAUCUUUUCCUUACUAAUUGAUUGUUAAUUAAGUAGUGUCCAAGUGAGUUAGCCUUUUUAGGGUUGAUUAAUUAAAAGAGCAGCAAGAAUGGCAUUUUAA